This 248-nucleotide unclassified non-coding RNA is filed under the name Hevea brasiliensis (rubber tree). Lineage: Eukaryota; Viridiplantae; Streptophyta; Magnoliopsida; Malpighiales; Euphorbiaceae. The record is from RNAcentral.
GGAUCACUAUCUUCCUUACUUUGAAAGCCCUCCAGGAUUUCUACCACCUGUCUCAUAAGGGGUCUGCCUUUUGGAUUUUGGCUCAAACAUUGAUAAGUCAAAUUAGCAACCUUCAUUACAGUUCUAGUUGAAUAUUGUCCUUCUAUUCUAGGAUCCAAUAUUUUCAAAAGUUUCUUGUUGUGGCUCAACAGCGGACGAGCCCACUCAACCAGGUUGUGCUCUCGACUUGGUCUGGUCUUGUCCAUUAC